This is a long non-coding RNA of Sinocyclocheilus anshuiensis, 131 nucleotides long. RefSeq lists it as uncharacterized. The record is from RefSeq and is a predicted model, not a curated record. Lineage: Eukaryota; Metazoa; Chordata; Actinopteri; Cypriniformes; Cyprinidae. The transcript has 3 exons.
UGGACACUUGGGGAAAACUGAACUGGCCGCUGUGGCACUGGCUAUUGCUGUUAUUAAUGUGACUGGCAUCUCCAUCGGCUCUGGAUUGGCAUCUGCAUGCGAUACACUCAUCUCUCAGACGUUUGGCAGUA